This 211-nucleotide unclassified non-coding RNA is filed under the name Hevea brasiliensis (rubber tree). Lineage: Eukaryota; Viridiplantae; Streptophyta; Magnoliopsida; Malpighiales; Euphorbiaceae. The record is from RNAcentral.
GAUCAAAUUUUUUUUACUUCUCUUGUCUCACAUAUACUGCUUUCUACUUGAGUCAUCAAUAUCGGUUCCCGAACCUCUCCAUCUUCAUAAUCUUCUUCUAUAUCAUUAUCAACUGCAUCCAUGGCCUCGUUUAAAUCCUGCUUACCAUCUGAUUCAUAUUCAGAACUAUAAGGAUCUUCUUCUAAUAAAUCAGCUGAUAUGCUGAUCUUUU